AUCCUCCAAGGCUAAAUACUCCUGAUUGACCGAUAGUGAACCAGUACCGUGAGGGAAAGGCGAAAAGAACCCCGGCGAGGGGAGUGAAAAAGAACCUGAAACCGUGUACGUACAAGCAGUAGGAGCCCCAUCACUCAAGUGCCUCGCACUGAGUGAUGCAAGAACAUCACCGAAAAUAGCGCCGAAUUUGCUAACAAGGUUGGUCGAUUUUUUCAAGCCGUCGCGCAGUGUACCUAGAAGUACACGAGCAACGGAAGUUAAAAAAUCGGGCAAGAUUGAACGCAAAGGCAAGCGGGACAUUUGAGGAUGGGGUGACUGCGUACCUUUUGUAUAAUGGGUCAGCGACUUAUAUUCUGUAGCGAGGUUAACCGUAUAGGGGAGCCGUAGGGAAACCGAGUCUUAACUGGGCGAAUGAGUUGCAGGGUAUAGACCCGAAACCCGGUGAUCUAUCCAUGGGCAGGUUGAAGGUUGGGUAACACUAACUGGAGGACCGAACCGACUAAUGUUGAAAAAUUAGCGGAUGACUUGUGGAUGGGGGUGAAAGGCCAAUCAAACCGGGAGAUAGCUGGUUCUCCCCGAAAGCUAUUUAGGUAGCGCCUCGUGAACUCAUCUUCGGGGGUAGAGCACUGUUUCGACUAGGGGGUCAUCCCGACUUACCAACUCGAUGCAAACUGCGAAUACCGAAGAAUGUUAUCACGGGAGACACACGGCGGGUGCUAACGUCCGUCGUGAA
Molecule: ribosomal RNA, 733 nt
Filed under: Proteus mirabilis
Lineage: Bacteria; Pseudomonadati; Pseudomonadota; Gammaproteobacteria; Enterobacterales; Morganellaceae
Description: partial 23S ribosomal RNA
Rfam family: Bacterial large subunit ribosomal RNA
Source: RNAcentral